RNAcentral lists this non-coding RNA (208 nucleotides) under Lactobacillus apis. Its description in RNAcentral is "T-box sequence". It matches the Rfam family "T-box leader". Rfam says of the family: Uncharged tRNA acts as the effector for transcription antitermination of genes in the T-box leader family. T-boxes are found upstream of many aminoacyl-tRNA synthetase genes and some amino acid biosynthetic genes usually in Gram-positive bacteria. The record is from RNAcentral. Lineage: Bacteria; Bacillati; Bacillota; Bacilli; Lactobacillales; Lactobacillaceae.
UUAAUUACAUGGAGUAAGACUAGUAGCAGUAAUCGUUUAUUGCAGAGAGACUUUUUUAUUAGCUGAAAGAAAAGUCUAAAUAGAGCUGUGAAUUUCAUCUUACUAGUAGGAUUUAAUCAAUUCCGGUAUUCACCGUUAUCGAAGACUUGAGUGUAGACUCUCUUUGUGAGUCUAAACCAGGGUGGUACCGCGAAGCUUCGUCCCUUGA